RNAcentral lists this long non-coding RNA (290 nucleotides) under Setaria viridis. RNAcentral's name for it is "long non-coding RNA (SVIR_LNC011239)". Lineage: Eukaryota; Viridiplantae; Streptophyta; Magnoliopsida; Poales; Poaceae. The record is from RNAcentral.
UUCAAAUUCUAACUAGGUACUCAGAGAAACUUUGUUAUCUCUAUCCGGUUGUAAUGAACUUUAUCUACCACUUAAUCUAUAUAAACUUUAGUUAUCCAUUACUCUAUACGAACUUUCAUCCUUAUUCAUAGUUUGUGCAUGCUCUCCAAAAUUUGGAGACCGAAAGAAUGAUCACACGCUUUGUUCAUUUUAUCUAUCGCCUACUCCCUCCAUCAAAAAAAAUAAGUCACCCACAGAAUUUUUGAACAGAUUAACAAUAAAAUAAAAUGACUUCGAUUGCCCCUACUCCC